This 395-nucleotide ribosomal RNA is filed under the name uncultured bacterium. RNAcentral describes it as "partial 16S ribosomal RNA". It matches the Rfam family "Bacterial small subunit ribosomal RNA", at positions 523 to 917 of the family's 1533-position model. The record is from RNAcentral.
AUACGAAGGGUGCAAGCGUUAAUCGGAAUUACUGGGCGUAAAGCGCGCGUAGGUGGUUCAGCAAGUUGGAUGUGAAAGCCCCGGGCUCAACCUGGGAACUGCAUCCAAAACUACUGAGCUAGAGUACGGUAGAGGGUGGUGGAAUUUCCUGUGUAGCGGUGAAAUGCGUAGAUAUAGGAAGGAACACCAGUGGCGAAGGCGACCACCUGGGCUAAUACUGACGCUGAGGGGCGAAAGCGUGGGGAGCAAACAGGAUUAGAUCCCCGGGUAGUCCACGCCGUAAACGAUGUCGACUAGCCGUUGGGAUCCUUGAGAUCUUAGUGGCGCAGCUAACGCCAUAAGUCGCCCGCCUGGGGAGUACGGCCGGAAGGUUAAAAAUCAAAUGAAUUGACGGG